Molecule: long non-coding RNA, 456 nt
Filed under: Homo sapiens (human)
Lineage: Eukaryota; Metazoa; Chordata; Mammalia; Primates; Hominidae
Description: non-protein coding lnc-KPNA2-3:1
Source: RNAcentral
GCGCAGCCUGUAAUCCCAGCUAUUUGGGAGGCUGAGGCAGGAGAAUCGCUUGAACCCAGGAGGCAGAAGUUGCAGUGAGCUGAGACCGCCCCUCAGCCUGGGCAAUAGAGCGAGACUUCACAGACCCUCGGAGUACAGUCAGAAAUUAUUACAUUUUUGAAUUUCCAUUUUGAUCUAAAAAUAAAUUGAUAUAUACCUAUUGGAGAUCAUCUGGGUGGCUUAUAAAAAUGAAUCAGUACCAAUCCUUUUAUCUGUCUCUGCUUAUGAUGGCAAUGUAUCUGUACCAGGUGAUCUCUGGAAGUGAUAACUUUUCAUGUAUUGUUUCUCAAACUGCAAUGCAAGGACAUAGCACUGGGAUAUAGGAGUUCUCAAAUUAAAGACCUUGGCCACACUAUGUUAUGCUGUCUUUCAGUUCAUCUUGAGUAAAUGAAUGAGAGUAACCAAGAAAAAAAAAAA